UCUGUUGCAGAGGCUGGAAACUGUGAUUGCAGAAAGAUCUCAGGGCAGACAGGCAUUAACCUCUAGGGUGUUACUGGUUAGUAAUGUCCCACAUCCGGCAAGAGAGAAAAAACAUCAGGAAUAAAAUCCAGUAACCCUGUCAGAGAAAACAGAAGAAACCAAUACAAAACAUUUCAAGAUGAAUGGUUUUGUGUCCUGUCUAAGAAGCCAGAAAGUCUAUGCAUCCCAUCUGAGAAGCUAUUGGUCUUCUCAUCAGCCAGCCUGGGCAUCUAUUCAAAUGUAGGGACAAUUUUCCAAUAUGAUUACAACAAUGAAGAGGUUACUCUGCCUUACUCACUGAUUGCAAGUUCAAAACUGCUGGACUUCCACUGGGUCUUAGCUCUGUUAAAAAAAUGGUAUUUAUUUACCAGAGUGCCUUUGGAUGUAAGAGCUGCCUGUGGAAAUUACUUCCUCCUUCGAGUCUUGCCUUUUCUCAGUGUCCUGCAUUUAGUGAAACUGGAGAUCUCUGUGUGACUGUCCCAGGACAUUUCUCACUCUCCAUCAGACCUUUUUCACACCAACACCGUAUUUUCUGAAUACUUCCAUCUGGUUUUGGUUGAAGUUUAGGCAAAGCUUUCUAAUCUGGAUUAUAUAUGUAUUUCCUUGACUGUACUGUAAAUGCUUAUCUGAGCUGGACAGGAAGAACUUGUUCUGUUGUUUGGUCUCGGGAUAUUACUGAAGACUCAUUCAAGUAGCAGAGAAGCUUUCAUGAGGCUGGGGAAGGAAUGUGUCGUUUUGUGUUUCUGCUCACCUGCCUGGAUCUGCCAAAGCCAAGUGCUGUCCAUUCACAAGAGAAAUUCUAUCAUGAAUGUCUGCUGUUAGGACUGGCAGUGAGUCAGAAAUGCCCAACUGCCCAAUGACUUUCCCCACAAGAAAAAGGUAAAUUUGCACUUGAAAUUUGCAAUCACGUGUUAAGUCCCCAACUUUAUUUGCUCAGAGGGGCCAUUAACAUUUAGCUUUGUGUUAGGAAAUACCCUUUACCAAUAAAUUUCGAUGGGAAAAGCAAAGACUUGGGUUUGUUCCAAAAGAUUCAUUCAUGAAAAAUUCUGCUGAAUGAAAAAGGAAAUCUACAAUUUUUUUAAAGAAUUCCUCUAUCUGGUAUGAAUGUUUUAGUCUAGGCUAACUGUGCAUUUUACAGAUAGUUCAACUCAAUUUUAAUUCAACUGAUGUAACACUAUAAUAAAUAAUGUAAGAAUUAGUGGCAUGUCUUUAAUGUUCCUGCCUGCAUAACGUAUGUGUGUUCUCUGCAGAAAUAAAGCCUGCUGUUAUUUCAUGUUGAAGGUGAAGUAUGUCCAUCAAUGUCUUUCCCAGGGGAAUAGAGAGAACAAGGCUUGGGAGAAGGUGGUUUGGCACACACGCUCCUCAUGAGGAACAAACUUGCACAGCAGCUUGUCUUUAACUCUUCCCAAGCAGUGGAGCGUGUCAUUGCUUUUGCAAUAAACCAUUCCUCAGGAACAGAUAUGGACUGGCUGAAAAAUAAUUAAAAACUUAAUUUCCUGUAAUACUGUCCAUCAAACAAUUUUACUCAAUCUUUUUGAAAGGCUGCUCUGCAGCAUGGAAAAAAAGACUGGCAGUAGUGCAAGAACAGGGAAUAUAUAUGACCAGUGGAAGAAGCAUGGUUGGCCUUUUGCCCUAGAGAAAUUGAUGGAUGAGUGGAUCUUCUGCUUUAACCAAGCAUUAAUAAAAUAAUUUGGAUUUGGGCUUGAGGUGAUGAUGUUUGCCAAAGUGGCUACAAAGGCUUUUUUUUACUGCCCAGACUGACACUGACCUGCAUGGAUGUGCUUAGGGUCUGUUGUGUGCAAACCCACAGCUGCAGAGUUGAUCAGUCCUCUCUUUUGGAAAAACCUGAUUUUUUACUGAGGUAUAAAAUUUGUAGAUUAGGCCUUUUACAAAGAUUUGGCCCCAAUAGCAGAACCCUGUGUGAUUUGUCUCCUGCAGUUUUACAGUUUGUGGUGUAGUACCUCAAGAAAGGCAAACAAAGCUUUAUCCUCCUCUGGACAGCUGUUAGGGACAGAUCCACUGACUCGACUGCUCAAGAGAACAACCCCCAAAACUGGGUAUUUUAUUCCAAACUAACACACAUAAAACUUCC
Poecile atricapillus (Black-capped chickadee) is the source of this 2131-nucleotide long non-coding RNA. RefSeq lists it as uncharacterized. NCBI's taxonomy places the organism in Eukaryota, Metazoa, Chordata, Aves, Passeriformes, Paridae. The transcript has 3 exons. The record is from RefSeq and is a predicted model, not a curated record.